UUGUGGAGGGGGUGGGUUUCCAUUGGGAGUCAUAAACAGGAAGUCUGUGGUUGAUGACAUCAUCAAGCAGGGCACCAAUUGGGGGGGGGUCCGGUUGCACCUGUUGCCAUGGCAACGGGUAUCUGCCCGCACCUGCGAGCUCGGCAAAAGCCCCCUCGACUUGUGCCGCUUGAUUUAUUUGACCUCAAACCAAUUUCAUGUUGUCAGGAUGGCGCUGGGAUUGUCGCCCAAAAA
This is a long non-coding RNA of Hippocampus zosterae (dwarf seahorse), 234 nucleotides long. RefSeq lists it as uncharacterized. The transcript is spliced from 2 exons. The record is from RefSeq and is a predicted model, not a curated record. NCBI's taxonomy places the organism in Eukaryota, Metazoa, Chordata, Actinopteri, Syngnathiformes, Syngnathidae.